GGGGAGGGAGCUUGCUCCUGACUGCGGCGGACGGGUGAGUAUGCUAGGAAUCUGCCUAUUAGUGGGGGACAACAUUCCGAAAGGAAUGCUAAUACCGCAUACGCCCUACGGGGGAAAGCAGGGGAUCUUCGGACCUUGCGCUAAUAGAUGAGCCUAAGUCAGAUUAGCUAGUUGGUGGGGUAAAGGCCUACCAAGGCGACGAUCUGUAGCGGGUCUGAGAGGAUGAUCCGCCACACUGGGACUGAGACACGGCCCAGACUCCUACCGGGAGGCAGCAGUGGGGAAUAUUGGACAAUGGGCGAAAGCCUGAUUCAUUCAUGCCGCGUGUGUGAAGAAGGCCUUUUGGUUGUAAAGCACUUUUAAGCGAGGAGGAGGCUCCUGAGAUAAUCCUCUUGGAUAGUGGCCGUACCUCCCAGAAUAGCACCGGCUACUCUGGGCAGCAGCCGGGGAAUCAGAGGUGCAGCGUAAUCGAUUACUGGCGUAAGGUGCUAGCCGCUUUU
This 500-nucleotide ribosomal RNA is filed under the name uncultured bacterium. Its description in RNAcentral is "bacterial SSU rRNA". It matches the Rfam family "Bacterial small subunit ribosomal RNA", at positions 71 to 579 of the family's 1533-position model. The record is from RNAcentral.